RNAcentral lists this ribosomal RNA (1470 nucleotides) under metagenome. Its description in RNAcentral is "bacterial SSU rRNA". It matches the Rfam family "Bacterial small subunit ribosomal RNA". The record is from RNAcentral.
AGAGUUUGAUCCUGGCUCAGGACGAACGCUGGCGGCACGCUUAACACAUGCAAGUCGAACGAGAGAAGAGGAGCUUGCUUUUCUGAUCUAGUGGCGGACGGGUGAGUAACACGUGAGCAAUCUGCCUUUCAGAGGGGGAUACCGAUUGGAAACGAUCGUUAAUACCGCAUAACAUAAUUGAACCGCAUGAUUUGAUUAUCAAAGAUUUAUCGCUGAAAGAUGGGCUCGCGUCUGAUUAGCUAGUUGGUAAGGUAACGGCUUACCAAGGCGACGAUCAGUAGCCGGACUGAGAGGUUGAUCGGCCACAUUGGGACUGAGACACGGCCCAGACUCCUACGGGAGGCAGCAGUGGGGAAUAUUGCACAAUGGAGGAAACUCUGAUGCAGCGAUGCCGCGUGAGGGAAGAAGGUUUUAGGAUUGUAAACCUCUGUCUUCAGGGACGAAAAAAGACGGUACCUGAGGAGGAAGCUCCGGCUAACUACGUGCCAGCAGCCGCGGUAAUACGUAGGGAGCGAGCGUUGUCCGGAAUUACUGGGUGUAAAGGGAGCGUAGGCGGGAUCGCAAGUCAGAUGUGAAAACUAUGGGCUUAACCCAUAAACUGCAUUUGAAACUGUGGUUCUUGAGUGAAGUAGAGGUAAGCGGAAUUCCUAGUGUAGCGGUGAAAUGCGUAGAUAUUAGGAGGAACAUCAGUGGCGAAGGCGGCUUACUGGGCUUUAACUGACGCUGAGGCUCGAAAGCGUGGGGAGCAAACAGGAUUAGAUACCCUGGUAGUCCACGCCGUAAACGAUGAUUACUAGGUGUGGGGGGACUGACCCCUUCCGUGCCGCAGCAAACGCAAUAAGUAAUCCACCUGGGGAGUACGACCGCAAGGUUGAAACUCAAAGGAAUUGACGGGGGCCCGCACAAGCAGUGGAGUAUGUGGAUUAAUUCGAAGCAACGCGAAGAACCUUACCAGGUCUUGACAUCGUAUGCAUAGCUCAGAGAUGAGUGAAAUCUCUUCGGAGACAUAUAGACAGGUGGUACAUGGUUGUCGUCAGCUCGUGUCGUGAGAUGUUGGGUUAAGUCCCGCAACGAGCGCAACCCUUACUGUUAGUUGCUACGCAAGAGCACUCUAGCAGGACUGCCGUUGACAAAACGGAGGAAGGUGGGGAUGACGUCAAAUCAUCAUGCCCCUUAUGACCUGGGCCUCACACGUACUACAAUGGCUGUCAACAGAGGGAAGCAAAGCCGCGAGGUGGAGCGAACCCCUAAAAGCAGUCUUAGUUCGGAUUGUAGGCUGCAACCCGCCUACAUGAAGUCGGAAUUGCUAGUAAUCGCAGAUCAGCAUGCUGCGGUGAAUACGUUCCCGGGCCUUGUACACACCGCCCGUCACGCCAUGGGAGUCGGUAACACCCGAAGCCUGUAGUCUAACCGCAAGGAGGACGCAGUCGAAGGUGGGAUUGAUGACUGGGGUGAAGUCGUAACAAGGUA